AUGAUGUGGGAGGUCAAGACCUAUAGAUUCACUGGUUUCUAUGGGGAGCCCAAGAUGGACUUACGUAAGAAGUCGUGGGAUGCAAUUCGUUUUCUGAGGGCACAAGAUGAUCUCCCAUGGAUUUGUGUUGGAGAUUACAAUGAGGCACUCUUCCAAACAGAUCAACUAGGUGGUAACCCGCGGCCUUUUGCUCAAAUGGAGGACUUUAGGGACUGCUUGGCCAACCGCGGACUUGCGGACCUGGGCUUCUCGGGAUAUCCAUACACAUGGGAUAAUAAGCGUGAUGGAGCAGAGAACAUCAAGUUCCUCAUUCAGUUCUCACUCAAUGAUAAGAAAAAUGAAAAGAAAAGAUAG
This 354-nucleotide ribosomal RNA is filed under the name Triticum aestivum (bread wheat). Its description in RNAcentral is "partial small subunit ribosomal RNA". The record is from RNAcentral. Lineage: Eukaryota; Viridiplantae; Streptophyta; Magnoliopsida; Poales; Poaceae.